Molecule: ribosomal RNA, 253 nt
Filed under: uncultured bacterium
Lineage: Bacteria
Description: partial 16S ribosomal RNA
Rfam family: Bacterial small subunit ribosomal RNA
Source: RNAcentral
UACGUAGGGUCCGAGCGUUGUCCGGAAUUAUUGGGCGUAAAGAGCUCGUAGGCGGUUCGUCGCGUCGGCUGUGAAAACCUGAGGCUCAACCUCAGGCCUGCAGUCGAUACGGGCGGACUUGAGUGUUGCAGGGGAGACUGGAAUUCCUGGUGUAGCGGUGAAAUGCGCAGAUAUCAGGAGGAACACCGGUGGCGAAGGCGGGUCUCUGGGCAACUACUGACGCUGAGGAGCGAAAGCGUGGGGAGCGAACAGG